ACAAAAUGUUCAUGUGCUUGGCUGUUAACCAAAAGGUUGGUGGUUCGAGUCCACC
Molecule: transfer RNA, 55 nt
Filed under: Loxodonta africana (African savanna elephant)
Lineage: Eukaryota; Metazoa; Chordata; Mammalia; Proboscidea; Elephantidae
Rfam family: tRNA
About the family: Transfer RNA (tRNA) molecules are approximately 80 nucleotides in length.
Source: Rfam by way of RNAcentral